CUGGCCUCAAGCAACCCUCCUGCUUCAGCCACCCAAAGCACUAGGAUUACAGGUGUGAGCCACUGUGCCUGGUGAAUUUUGCCUGAGUGUUCAGCAGCACGGGGGGCCCACUGCUUGGUCUACACCCAAAAGAAAGGGAAUCCCUGUUUGGAGGGAUGUCUGCACCCCGGGCUCAUGGCAGCACUGUUCACCACAGUCAAGGCGUGGAAGCAAUCUAAGUUCCAUCAACAGAUGAAUGGAUAAAGAAGAAUAUAUAAUACACAAUGGAGUACUCUUCAGCCAUAAAAGAAGAAAGACAUUCUGUCAUUUGUGACAAUGUGAGUGAACCUGGGAGAUAUCAUAUUAAGUGAAAUAAGCUAGGCACAGAAAGACAAAUACCAUGUGAUCUCACUUAUAUGCAGAAACUAAAAAAAUUGAAUUCAUAGAAGCAGAGGGUAAAAUGGGUAAAAUGAUGGCUACUAGGGACUGGGGGAGGGAGACGUUGGUCAAAGGGCAUACAAUUUCAGUUAGACAGGAGGAGUGAUCAAGAGGUCUAUUGUGCAACAUGAUGAUUAUAGUUAAUGAAUUAUAUACUCGAAAAUUGCCAAGAGAGUAGAUUUUAAGUGCUCUUACCACAAAAACGUAAGUAUUUGAGGGAGUGGAUAUGUUAAUUAGCUUAGCAUAGCCAUUAUACAACAUAUAUGUAUUUCAAAACACGUUGAAUGCAAUAAAUUAUACAAUUUUUGUUUGUCAAUUAAAAAAUAAAUAAAUUUAAAAAGUGAAAAUGAAACCCAAGUGCUCUUGUAUUGAGAGCAUUGGGUGGAGGUAGCACUGGAAAAGAGAAAAUAAAGUGCAGACUGGCCCUGAGGGGCCCUUUCUGGGGGAGCAUAGCCCCAAUCCAUUUUUUUUUGUCCUGGGACGGCAGAACUCCCUGGCAGGAACGCCUUGCUUUCCUGUGCAUUCCACAAGCUCUGACAAUCAUCUGAUAAGCACCAAGCCUUUCACUGAAACGGGGAUACUAGGACAGGGCACUAUGAGCUUCCUGACCCUCAGGAGCUCACUGUCUGCUCGGUGGGAGAGUGGGAGGGUGAGGAGGGCCGAUGCCCGCAGAGAGCAGGGUCAGAUAGACAAUUCUGGGCUGGCUCCCUCUGUUCUUUAGAGGGGGCCGUGCCAAGCCUGCCAACUUGGGCUGCAGGGCGUUGUCAGGGAAAACUUCCUGGAGAAGUUGGCCCCGGGGUCAGGCCUGAGGAACAAAGACGAGCUAGAGAGGGAGUGGAGAGGACUGGGGAGUGGAAGCAGUAACGGAGGCCCGCGGGGUCCCCAAGGGCUGGGCGCAGGCAGUCAGCAGGA
RNAcentral lists this long non-coding RNA (1329 nucleotides) under Homo sapiens (human). RNAcentral describes it as "HSALNT0248718". Lineage: Eukaryota; Metazoa; Chordata; Mammalia; Primates; Hominidae. The record is from RNAcentral.